This is a long non-coding RNA of Ailuropoda melanoleuca (giant panda), 166 nucleotides long. RefSeq lists it as uncharacterized. The transcript has 3 exons. Lineage: Eukaryota; Metazoa; Chordata; Mammalia; Carnivora; Ursidae. The record is from RefSeq and is a predicted model, not a curated record.
AUGAGAUAUAAUCACCAAUUCAAACAGUUGUGAGGAGAUAGACAAAAAGUUACUCAACUCUUUUCACAACAAGGAGAAUGAUGAAAGACUUAGAUGGUAUCAAAAAUCUCUGGACACGUAGGAACUACAAGCAGAGACAGAGACAGAGCAAGAGAGCACAAGGAGG